This 402-nucleotide ribosomal RNA is filed under the name uncultured bacterium. RNAcentral describes it as "bacterial SSU rRNA". It matches the Rfam family "Bacterial small subunit ribosomal RNA", at positions 355 to 774 of the family's 1533-position model. RNAcentral also lists the same sequence under 1 other name. The record is from RNAcentral.
UGGGGAAUAUUGCACAAUGGGGGAAACCCUGAUGCAGCGACGCCGCGUGAAGGAUGAAGUAUUUCGGUAUGUAAACUUCUAUCAGCAGGGAAGAAAAUGACGGUACCUGACUAAGAAGCCCCGGCUAACUACGUGCCAGCAGCCGCGGUAAUACGUAGGGGGCAAGCGUUAUCCGGAUUUACUGGGUGUAAAGGGAGCGUAGACGGCUGUGCAAGUCUGGAGUGAAAACCCGGGGCUCAACCCCGGGAUUGCUUUGGAAACUGUGUAGCUGGAGUACCGGAGAGGCAAGUGGAAUUCCUAGUGUAGCGGUGAAAUGCGUAGAUAUUAGGAGGAACACCAGUGGCGAAGGCGGCUUGCUGGACGGUAACUGACGUUGAGGCUCGAAAGCGUGGGGAGCAAACA